RNAcentral lists this transfer RNA (65 nucleotides) under Macroscytus japonensis. RNAcentral's name for it is "tRNA-Trp". Lineage: Eukaryota; Metazoa; Arthropoda; Insecta; Hemiptera; Cydnidae. The record is from RNAcentral.
AAAGCUUUAAGUUAAAUUUAAACUAUUAACCUUCAAAGUUAAAUAUAUAUACGUUAUAAGCUUUA